UACGUAGGUGGCAAGCGUUGUCCGGAUUUACUGGGCGUAAAGGGCGUGCAGGCGGUCUGUUAAGUCUAGGGUGAAAGCUCCCGGCUCAACUGGGAGAGGUCCUUGGAUACUGGCGGACUUGAGGGAGGCAGAGGAGAGUGGAAUUCCCGGUGUAGUGGUGAUAUGCGUAGAUAUCGGGAGGAACACCAGUGGCGAAGGCGGCAUCCUGGACCAACACUGACACUGAUGAGCGAAAGCCAGGGGAGCAAACGGG
This 253-nucleotide ribosomal RNA is filed under the name uncultured bacterium. RNAcentral's name for it is "partial 16S ribosomal RNA". It matches the Rfam family "Bacterial small subunit ribosomal RNA", at positions 524 to 776 of the family's 1533-position model. The record is from RNAcentral.